This is a long non-coding RNA of Hermetia illucens (black soldier fly), 575 nucleotides long. RefSeq lists it as uncharacterized. The record is from RefSeq and is a predicted model, not a curated record. Lineage: Eukaryota; Metazoa; Arthropoda; Insecta; Diptera; Stratiomyidae. The transcript is spliced from 3 exons.
UCUAAAAAUUACUUGGCUAAGUAAGCAUGGGAAAUAUAUUUGGACUCCCCAAAAUAAAGCAUUUGUUAUUUUUACGUGUCAAUGAAAUUCACUUGGACCAGUUGUUCUAAGUUUAAGUGUUGAAUAUUUCCGAAUUCUAAUUACUCUUCUUCCCGGUCUUUUCCGUAGUUUGAAAUUAGACUUAGUCGCAGCGCCCGUUUAAAGAGAGAAGUUAAACGUAUUCUAUGAUAUAGUUUGGUAUUUUAUGUUAAAACAAAUGGCCCUGCAAAUUUUCGACAGUUGUAUGUCUUUUCGCCAUGUUACCGAUAAAGCUCCAUCUUACAUAUUAAUGGAUGGUUUGCCCAAAAGCAACCUGUAAUGAUGAUAAUGGUGUAUUGAAGGUGCUCUUAUUUGGGCCGGGGUGAGACAUACAUCCUAGUGUAAUCAGAUUCCCCGGUAAAUAAAACUGAACUUUACGGAACAUCGAUUCUCGGGAACUUCUGAACAACACCUUCUUAGAAAGGCCACUUGUUGAUAUAUUGAGAGCCAUAUCAGUGACUGUGUGGGAUUUUAUCGAACACUAUGCUUUAAAAUUG